GGAGGGGCUUCGACAACAGCCCAACCGUUAUAGCCGUCGUCGUUGGAGGAAUGACCAGGAGAGAACCAAGAGAGGUCGAGGUGGCUGUCGGCGACGGAAGCAGACAGGCGGAUAAUCCUAGGGUUGUUGGAUCUGAAAAAUGAGUAUGGAGAGAGACAACGGCUUCCUAAAAGAGGGCGAGUAGAAGUGGUGCGAAGGAAGAGACAAGAAGGAGGUGAACUAGCAGAAGAGCACAUUUUUCUCUUCCCUUUGUUUUCUGGGGAAGUGAAAUGAUCAAAAAUCAACGCAUUUAGGGAGUAGCGCGUAGCGAAGAAGAGUGAAGAGCUGAGAAUUGGAUUCGUGUCUG
Molecule: unclassified non-coding RNA, 346 nt
Filed under: Hevea brasiliensis (rubber tree)
Lineage: Eukaryota; Viridiplantae; Streptophyta; Magnoliopsida; Malpighiales; Euphorbiaceae
Source: RNAcentral